Molecule: long non-coding RNA, 2084 nt
Filed under: Cairina moschata (Muscovy duck)
Lineage: Eukaryota; Metazoa; Chordata; Aves; Anseriformes; Anatidae
Description: domestica (muscovy Duck (domestic type)) lncRNA (ENSCMMG00000006535.1)
Source: RNAcentral
CCACGUCAGAAAAUAAAUGAGAAAAUGAGAUUGGCCUGACAGAAUUUGCUCCUGAUGAUUCCAUAUGGGUUGUUAUUCAACACUUUGUUUCCACUUACAUGCUUGUAAUCAUGUAUUAAUUUAGUUGUUCCAGUAUUUUUCCAGAAAGUGGAACUAAGUUGAUAUGUCUGCAUUUUGCAUUUCCUUGAUCUCUCUCUCUCUCUCUCUCUCUCUCUUUUUUUUUUUUUUUUUCUUUCUUACUUGAAGAUAGAAGCCAUGUCUGCCCUCUACUUGGUUUCAGACAUCUCACAUUUUUCCAUGAUUUGUCAAAGCCAUCUACUUCAGAGGAUGCACCAGCCAUUUCAGAACUCCCAGCAUUCCUCAACCAGAUGUUUCACAGGAAAAUAUUUUCUCAGCUGGAUGGGAAAUCAGGGAAACUGCAGAAAGCAGUGGUGGGAAUAAUCAGCAUCAACGAGACACUUAUAUUCUGAUUUCAUGUGGGAGAAUAGCACAAAAAUCUGAAAUAUGAAUCUCCAUCUUGCUCCUGAUUUACCUUAAUAAAUUCCAGUUCCAUCACAGCAAAUGUAAAUUGACAAACAUGGACUAGACAGAGUGUAAAAAUGUGGGACAUAUUUAGAAGUUAUUACAGCCCAUCCUGCUUCCAAUCAUACAUUUGUUCUACUUCAGUGUGAUAAAUGAGUGUUCAUUGCAUGCUUGCAAUAUUUAUGAAUGUCAAAAAAAUGUUGUUCCUGCUGCAAAGAAUUUGUGGAACUGAAUUACAUCAGGCCUGAAAUCAUGACAGAGAUGUGAUUUGAAUUGAUUUUGAAAAGGAAUUAAAAAAAAAAAAAAGGAUAAAUAAUUUUGUCAUUUGGCGUGGUUCCUGAGCUGUAUCAAUGUUAAUGCCAAUCUUAUUUAUUUACAUAUUCAUAUACUGGCUUUGCAUAUAGUGCAUUUCUGUCUCUGAAUUCUCUGCCCCAAAAGGUCAUCCAAAUUAGUACCACUUACCUUUGCAUUUACAGAAAAUUGUGAACUGAAGACUGGAAUCCUUGAAAAAAUAGAGAAACAUUGAGUAAAAACUUCAACAGGAAAACAGCACAGAUUUUCCGUACAACAUUCCCCCUACUGUCGUUUUAGAGGACAGGUUGCCUGAAGCUGGCCCCAGUGCAGAAGUUUCCAUGUAGUUCCAAGGGAGGCAAAGAAAGGUGGCUUUUGUAGCUAGGAACACCUCUUAAAGCUGACUUUCUUGUCACCGCGUUACAUGUCCCCUGUGUCAGUGUGGCUUCUAAUAAAAUUCUAAAUAAAACAUAUUGAUGAACUUGGAGAAUUGUCCCAGCUUUUCCUGUUCAAAAUAUGCUGCUGUAAAUCUGACUUCAUCUCAGUAAGAGCUCAGGGAUUAGCCUUGUCAUGUGCUCAAGUUACAUGUUUGGGGUAGAAAUCAAUAUCUUCAUCUCCUCUCCCUCCCUCGUAUCAAAAAAAAGCAAAGCAAAAUUAAUCAAAGAUUGUAUUUCAACUAUGUUUUCAGAGUUUUACUUCUGAUGUUUCAACUCAGCAUUGGAAACACAAGACCCAGCUAAGAAAUGUAGGCUAUCUAUCACAGAAAGGAGUGGUGUUUCAUGGGAAAUCACUCUAUCCUUUACUCUUGCAACAGCUUGCAACAGAAAAGGAUGGCCUGGUGUAUAUGAUCCAUUGCUUUUGUCAGGGCUGCAGCAGUUAUGAGUGUAGCUGCACUUAUGGUUAUGACCUUUUGGUAGCUGGCUGAUAUUAAAAUCUUUUGUGAGGAAAUUGCCUGAUUUUACAAGUGCCUUCAGUUACUGACUGAAGAGGUACACUGCCAUUACAGAGCAGUUUUCUUCUAAUGAAGAUCUGAGAAAACAUGUGUCCAUGACUUCUGACUAUUUUCAGAUGACUCUAGAAACUGGAAAAAAAAAAAAAAAAAAGGUUUACCAAAACAUUUUUUUUUCUGUUGUUCAGUACAUUCUCUUCAAGAUCUUCUAAUAACACCCCGAAAAAAAAAGCAUCAAAAAUAGAACCCUUUCCAAAGUUGAGUUCCCGCAGGCCCAUCUUGUUUCACCUGAGAUCUCAUGCUUUCCAUGGGCAAGGCCAGA